This 465-nucleotide ribosomal RNA is filed under the name uncultured bacterium. RNAcentral's name for it is "partial 16S ribosomal RNA". It matches the Rfam family "Bacterial small subunit ribosomal RNA", at positions 338 to 795 of the family's 1533-position model. The record is from RNAcentral.
CCUACAGGUGGCUGCAGUGGGGAAUAUUGCGCAAUGGGCGAAAGCCUGACGCAGCGACGCCGCGUGAGGGAUGUAGUUCUUCGGAUCGUAAGCCUCUGUCAGCAGGGAAGAACGGUCACUGUGCUAAUCAGCAGUGAAUUGCCGGUACCUCCAAAGCAAGCACCGGCUAACUCCGUGCCAGCAGCCGCGGUAAUGCGGAGGGUGCGAGCGUUAAUCGGAAUUACUGGGCGUAAAGCGAUCGGAGGCGGUAUGGCAAGUCAAGGGUGAAAUCCCCGCGCUCAACGUGGGAACUGCGUUUGACACUGGCAAAGUGGAGUGUGUGUGAGGAUAGUGGAAUUCCAGGUGUAGGAGUGAAAUCCGGAGAUAUCUGGAGGAACAUCAGUGGCGAAGGCGACGAUCUGGCACAUAACUGACGCUGAGGAGCGAGAGCGUGGGUAGCAAACAGGAGUAGAUACCCUAGUAGUC